GGUUGUAAACCCCUUUCAGUGGGAACGAAAUUGACGGUACCCACAGAAGAAGCCCCGGCCAACUACGUGCCAGCAGCCGCGGUGAUACGUAGGGGGCGAGCGUUGUCCGGAUUUAUUGGGCGUAAAGAGCUCGUAGGCGGCUUGGUAAGUCGGGUGUGAAACCUCCAGGCUCAACCUGGAGACGCCACUCGAUACUGCCCUGGCUAGAGUCCGGUAGGGGAUCACGGAAUUCCUGGUGUAGCGGUGAAAUGCGCAGAUAUCAGGAGGAACACCAGUGGCGAAGGCGGUGAUCUGGGCCGGUACUGACGCUGAGGAGCGAAAGCGUGGGGAGCGAACAGGAUUAGAUACCCUGGUAGUCCACGCCGUAAACGUUGGGCACUAGGUGUGGGGCCUUAUCGACGGGUUCCGUGCCGCAGCUAACGCAUUAAGUGCCCCGCCUGGGGAGUACGGCCGC
RNAcentral lists this ribosomal RNA (454 nucleotides) under uncultured bacterium. Its description in RNAcentral is "bacterial SSU rRNA". It matches the Rfam family "Bacterial small subunit ribosomal RNA", at positions 421 to 889 of the family's 1533-position model. The record is from RNAcentral.